AUUACUUACUUGAACAUGAUCUGUUCUAUAGGCUCGUACCGAUGCAUCCUUUACCAAUAAGGAGGCAAGCACUCAAGUCUGGUUGAUGACCUGUGACCUCUGGGCCAAAGCGGGAUUAACGGCCAGGAUUCAUCUGAUGUAUCCGAUGGCUGUAGACGAUCGUUCCUGCCUGGCUCAGCCUGUGUAGGGUGGCCUAGAGGUUGUCUGACAGACU
Non-coding RNA from Triticum urartu, 214 nucleotides. NCBI's taxonomy places the organism in Eukaryota, Viridiplantae, Streptophyta, Magnoliopsida, Poales, Poaceae. The record is from Rfam.